GAUGAACGCUAGCUACAGGCUUAACACAUGCAAGUCGCGGGGCAGCAUGGGGGUUGCUUGCAAUCCCCGAUGGCGACCGGCGCACGGGUGAGUAACGCGUAUCCAACCUGCCCUUCACCACGGGAUAACCCGGCGAAAGUCGGACUAAUACCGUAUGUUGUCCAUUGACGGCAUCCGAUUUGGACGAAAGGCUUGGCGGUGAGGGAUGGGGAUGCGUCCGAUUAGCCAGACGGCGGGGUAACGGCCCACCGUGGCUACGAUCGGUAGGGGUUCUGAGAGGAAGGUCCCCCACACUGGAACUGAGACACGGUCCAGACCCCUACGGGAGGCAGCAGUGAGGAAUAUUGGUCAAUGGGCGUAAGCCUGAACCAGCCAAGUAGCGUGCAGGAUGACGGCCCUAUGGGUUGUAAACUGCUUUUAUGCGGGGAUAAAGUGGCCCACGUGUGGGCUUUUGCAGGUACCGCAUGAAUAAGGACCGGCUAAUUCCGUG
This 490-nucleotide ribosomal RNA is filed under the name uncultured bacterium. Its description in RNAcentral is "partial 16S ribosomal RNA". It matches the Rfam family "Bacterial small subunit ribosomal RNA", at positions 28 to 507 of the family's 1533-position model. The record is from RNAcentral.